ACAACACACAACAUGGACGAAGACGGUGAAGAGAAAAUAUUUUCGCCCCCAGCCAAAUUCAAGGCACGGAUUUGGGAGAAUUUUGGAUUUACUAAACAACAGUUACAUGUCACUCCUGAGAUACCAGUGAUGCGGACCUCUCCUGCUCUUUGGACCUGCCUGGUCCAUCCUGAUGCCUUACAUCUAGCUGGAGUUCUCAUCACUUUGCACCUGAAAGGAUGGCCCAUAUGUACAGCGCCUGAUCCAUCCUGAUGCCCUACUUCUAGCUGAGGUUCUCGUUACUUCUCUCCCUGUGGAAGAUGGCCCCCUAUGGACAAUCUAAAUAUAUAAUUUAGGACUGCAGUUAUCAUGAUCUGUUUUGCACUCAAUUCUCCAUCAAUGAACAGUUGAUAACAUCAACAAAAUAAACUUCAUGUUAAAACUCUAA
Molecule: long non-coding RNA, 427 nt
Organism: Neoarius graeffei (lesser salmon catfish)
Lineage: Eukaryota; Metazoa; Chordata; Actinopteri; Siluriformes; Ariidae
Exons: 2
Source: RefSeq, a predicted model, not a curated record